RNAcentral lists this ribosomal RNA (253 nucleotides) under uncultured bacterium. Its description in RNAcentral is "partial 16S ribosomal RNA". It matches the Rfam family "Bacterial small subunit ribosomal RNA", at positions 524 to 776 of the family's 1533-position model. The record is from RNAcentral.
UACGUAGGGUGCGAGCGUUAAUCGGAAUUACUGGGCGUAAAGAGUGCGCAGGCGGCUUCGCAAGUCGAGUGUGAAAUCCCCGGGCUUAACCUGGGAAUUGCGCUCGAAACUACGGAGCUGGAGUAUGGCAGAGGGAGGUGGAAUUCCACGUGUAGCGGUGAAAUGCGUAGAGAUGAGGAGGAACACCAAUGGCGAAGGCAGCCUCCUGGGCCAAUACUGACACUCAUGCACGAAAGCGUGGGGAGCAAACAGG